AUGACUGUAACUAGUUUCCUCUUUCAACAGAACCCUUCCUUUCCUGGAUCCAGCCCCUCACAAAGGUGGGGCACAAGCUCUCUCUCCAGCACUUUUCCUUGUCUGGAGCUUAUCUCUCCUCUUCAUAACGGUGCUGAACUGGCGGAAGGAACCUCCAGGUGUCGGAGGAAAGAGGAAGAGUCUCCGAGGAGGGACAAGGUGAGCUGUCUGUGCGAGGAGCCCAAAUCCAGCCAGCAGGACCAGGACAACAGGGCGACCAAACCGAAGACCUUGUUUCCAGGGACCAGACCAACCAAAACAAAGCCAGACCCUCCGGCUGCUGUGGCUUCAGUGGAGAUUUUAAAGAGAGUGGGACAGAGCGGCCUUAUGAUCAGCUGGGAGAGGCCACCGCUGGACGAGCUGGGCUGCAGUAACGGCACCUUUGUGAGCGGAUACAUGAUCUGUGUCAACGGCGAGUUCCGCAAAUCUGUCGUGAGCUCAGCCUGUACCAAGGUAAAAGCUGCACCCUCCGCAGCAUUUCUGAGACAUGCUGUAGCUUUUAAUUUAUUUAAAUGUAUUCAAAUUUAUUAAUACUGCAGAAACACUCACCAAGUCAAGUGAACGCUGUAAAGUUAAGCAGAUUUUUCACUUUUCAAAGGAAAGCAGAAUUAUAGCCCCUCCUCAUGCAGGAGUCCUGAUGACUUUGGAAACACGCACGCACGCACGCACGCACGCACGCACACACACACACACACACACACACACACACACGCGCGCGCACACACAUUGUGUGUCUCUGUGCCCUCAGACAGUUCUGGAGAACCUGGAUCUGUCUCUGUCGCUGCACAUCAGUGUCCAGACCUUGGGCUCUAAUGGGCUCCUUGCUGAGAAGGUGUAUGUCCUCUCCAAGGGCAUGAGUCCCCCUCCUGGAUCAGCGCCCCCCCCGCGCAUUCACCGACACCGUUGGACAGCACAGCCGGUUAGACCUGCGCGCGCACACAAACCGAAAUGGACAUGGACACCCACUCGCUGAAACAUACACAGGUGCAAAUGGUGUCAUUGUUUCCCCAUCAGUUUCACACCCACUUUCACUUCACUGCAAUAACUGAAAAUCUGUUGAAAAUC
This 1104-nucleotide long non-coding RNA is filed under the name Scleropages formosus (Asian bonytongue). RNAcentral's name for it is "lncRNA (ENSSFOG00015028074.1)". Lineage: Eukaryota; Metazoa; Chordata; Actinopteri; Osteoglossiformes; Osteoglossidae. The record is from RNAcentral.